AGUUUGAUCCUGGCUCAGGACGAACGCUGGCGGCGUGCUUAACACAUGCAAGUCGAACGGAGCGCCUAUGAAGGAGAUUUCGGUCAACGGAAUAGGUUGCUUAGUGGCGGACGGGUGAGUAACGCGUGAGGAACCUGCCUUUCAGAGGGGGACAACAGUUGGAAACGACUGCUAAUACCGCAUAACACAUAGGUGUCGCAUGGCAUUUAUGUCAAAGAUUUAUCGCUGAAAGAUGGCCUCGCGUCUGAUUAGCUAGUUGGUGAGGUAACGGCUCACCAAGGCGACGAUCAGUAGCCGGACUGAGAGGUUGGCCGGCCACAUUGGGACUGAGAUACGGCCCAGACUCCUACGGGAGGCAGCAGUGGGGAAUAUUGGGCAAUGGGCGCAAGCCUGACCCAGCAACGCCGCGUGAAGGAAGAAGGCUUUCGGGUUGUAAACUUCUUUUGACAGGGAAGAGUAGAAGACGGUACCUGUCGAAUAAGCCACGGCUAACUACGUGCCAGCAGCCGCGGUAAUACGUAGGUGGCAAGCGUUGUCCGGAUUUACUGGGUGUAAAGGGCGUGUAGCCGGGUUGACAAGUCAGAUGUGAAAUCCUGCGGCUUAACCGCAGAACUGCAUUUGAAACUGUUGAUCUUGAGUACUGGAGAGGCAGACGGAAUUCCUAGUGUAGCGGUGAAAUGCGUAGAUAUUAGGAGGAACACCAGUGGCGAAGGCGGUCUGCUGGACAGCAACUGACGGUGAGGCGCGAAAGCGUGGGGAGCAAACAGGAUUAGAUACCCUGGUAGUCCACGCAGUAAACGAUGAAUACUAAUUGUCCGGUCAGAAUGAUGACUGGGUGAUACAGCGAAAGCGUUAAGUAUUCCACCUGGGGAGUACGCCGGCAACGGUGAAACUCAAAGGAAUUGACGGGGGCCCGCACAAGCGGAGGAACAUGUGGUUUAAUUCGAUGAUACGCGAGGAACCUUACCCGGGCUCAAACGUAGAAUGACAGACGGUGAAAGCCGUUCUCCCUUCGGGGCAGUCUACGAGGUGCUGCAUGGUUGUCGUCAGCUCGUGCCGUGAGGUGUCGGCUUAAGUCCCGCAACGAGCGCAACCCUUAUCCUUAGUAGCCAGCGGGUAAAGCCGGGCACUCUAGGGAGACUGCCAGGGACAACCUGGAGGAAGGCGGGGAUGACGUCAAAUCAUCAUGCCCCUUAUGGCUUGGGCUACACACGUGCUACAAUGGCGUAAACAAAGGGAAGCGAGCCUGUGAAGGUAAGCAAAUCCCAAAAAUAACGUCCCAGUUCGGACUGUAGUCUGCAACUCGACUGCAUGAAGCUGGAAUCGCUAGUAAUCGCGAAUCAGAAUGUCGCGGUGAAUACGAUCCCGGGUCUUGCACUCACCGCCCGUCA
RNAcentral lists this ribosomal RNA (1391 nucleotides) under uncultured bacterium. RNAcentral describes it as "bacterial SSU rRNA". It matches the Rfam family "Bacterial small subunit ribosomal RNA". The record is from RNAcentral.